This 385-nucleotide ribosomal RNA is filed under the name uncultured bacterium. RNAcentral describes it as "bacterial SSU rRNA". It matches the Rfam family "Bacterial small subunit ribosomal RNA", at positions 30 to 417 of the family's 1533-position model. The record is from RNAcentral.
AUUGAACGCUGGCGGCAUGCUUUACACAUGCAAGUCGAACGGACCUAGGGGCUUGCUCCUAGGUUAGUGGCGAACGGGUGAGUAAUGCAUCGGAACGUACCGUGUAAUGGGGGAUAACGCAGCGAAAGUUGUGCUAAUACCGCAUACGAUCUACGGAUGAAAGCAGGGGAUCGCAAGACCUUGCGUUAUACGAGCGGCCGAUGUCGGAUUAGCUAGUUGGUAGGGUAAAGGCCUACCAAGGCAACGAUCCGUAGCGGGUCUGAGAGGAUGAUCCGCCACACUGGGACUGAGACACGGCCCAGACUCCUACGGGAGGCAGCAGUGGGGAAUUUUGGACAAUGGGCGCAAGCCUGAUCCAGCCAUGCCGCGUGAGUGAAGAAGGCCU